This 253-nucleotide ribosomal RNA is filed under the name uncultured bacterium. Its description in RNAcentral is "partial 16S ribosomal RNA". It matches the Rfam family "Bacterial small subunit ribosomal RNA", at positions 524 to 776 of the family's 1533-position model. The record is from RNAcentral.
UACGUAGGGGGCGAACGUUAUCCAGAUUUACUGGGCGUAAAGCGCGUGUAGGCGGCCCUGCAAGUCGGAUGUGAAAUCCCACGGCUCAACCGUGGAAGUGCAUUCGAAACUGCAGGGCUAGAGUCCUGGAGAGGAAGGUGGAAUGCUUGGUGUAGAGGUGAAAUUCGUAGAUAUCAAGCGGAACACCGGUGGCGAAGGCGGCCUUCUGGACAGUGACUGACGCUGAGACGCGAAAGCGUGGGGAGCAAACAGG